RNAcentral lists this non-coding RNA (24 nucleotides) under Arabidopsis thaliana (thale cress). The record is from RNAcentral. Lineage: Eukaryota; Viridiplantae; Streptophyta; Magnoliopsida; Brassicales; Brassicaceae.
UGGCAUGUCCAAGGUUUCAAAGUC